AGAGGAGGUUCCUGGAGGUAGGAGUUUAGCUUUAGUUACUCAGUCAAGGGAAACAAUCACAUACCCAGCAAUUUUUGGGGAGCCAGUGGGCCCGGAAGAGGAGCCAUUUAUAAAUAGCUGGUCAUCGGGGUUGGUGAGAGGCUCGGAGGAAAUGUUUGGAAAGUGUGGCUGUAGGUGAUCCAGGAUGUCAGUGCAAGAAUGAGUAGGAGGGGAAGAGGAUACGGGGAGUAAGGAUGCUGGGUUGAGAGGAGCACUUUUGGCAAGACUUGAAUUCAGGAUUUUUGAUAAAGAGGGCAUGGAGUAAUUGAAUCCGGGAAGGAGGAAGGGAGCUUAAUGCUUGGGAGGAAAGGAGAUUUUGUAGAUUAUGAGGACUGUGGACGGUGGUAUUUUGGCUGAAUGUUAAGGAGCUGCUGUCCACAAACUAAGUAAAGGAAGUAUUUAGAAGGCGUUGGUCUGUUAGGUUUGGAAAGGGUAUAAGAAAGGUUUGAACAGUGUUUACACAGAAGUGUGCAGGGUCUUGACAGGUAGAAAUUUCAGGUAAGAGCAUGGCUGGGUUUAGACGAGAGCUGGUUAGCACGGUGAUUUGGGGAGUUUUUAUGAAUAGAGCAUACAGUUGGAGAAGCUGUGAGGGGGAGAUGAAACUUAGUACACUGUGGUGAGUUAGCAUGUUUUUGAUGUUAUGGGUUGAAUAAACUGUUAGGUUGGCAUGGAGAGAUGGUUUUAGGCUUUUAAGGUGAGGACAGCAGCUGCUGCCAAUGCUUGGAGACAGGCAGGCCGUUUGAGAACUGUGGCUUUAAGCUGUUUAGAGAGGACUCAUGUGAUUAUACUGAACUGACCCAGAUAACCCAGGAUAAUUCACAUCUCAAGACCCUUAAACUUGAUGACGUCUGCAAAGUCCCUUUUGCCAUAAGGUUAUAUUGGCAUAUGGUCCAGGAAUUAGUGCAGAGCCACAAUCUCAGAAAGAAAAUGAGAGUGGAUAAUGAAGACAGAUCAUCUGGGUGUAAACCUGAGGAUAUUCCAGAAUAUAGAGGUUAGAGAGAUAAGAAAGAAACUAGCAAGGAAACUAAGGAGCAGCCUCUAAGUAGAAGGAAAAGAAUGGUGAGUUGUAAUUGGAGGUGAAGACAGUUUCAAGGGAGGGUAUGUUAAUUGCUGCUGACACAUCAAGGAAGAUGAGGACUGAGCAUUGACCAUUGGAUUUAGCAACAUGGAGUUUUCUGCUGACCUGGACCUGAGCAGUUUUAAUGGAGUGGUGGGGGCAAUGCAUGACAGAAGAGAAUUCAAGACAGAAGGGACUUUUCCAAAAAAAAAAGGUAUACAAAUGGUUAUUGUGCAACGUGGAAAGAUGUUCACCAAUAUUAGUCAUUUAGGAAAUGAAAAUCAAAAGCACAAUGAGUUACCAGUUCACACUCACUCAGAAGGCAAUAAUCAAAGAAAUGGACAAUAGCAAGGGUUGGGAAGGAUAUGGAGAUAUUCUCCCACAUUGCUGGUGGAAUGUAAAAAUGGUGAAGGUGAAGGUGGAAAAACGGAAAUGAAGUAUUGAGAGGGAGAUGGAAUAUAAGAAGCUUUCUGACAGAUAACCCAAUGGAACAAACUGACUGACUGGGCAUCUGAAAUGAGUAAGAAGGAGUCAAAAAUGAGCAAAAUUAUGCUUCUCUGUGGAUGCAAAUCAUAUCUCCAUUACUUACACCCAGGAGAACUUGUAUGAAGUAGUUAACUUCUCUGGAUUUUAGCUUUUUCAUGUGUACAAUGGGGGGUUUAUGCCUCAUAGAGUUGUAGAAACUGCAAAUGAGAGACUUAUGAAAAGCCUACUGAAUGACCUUAUGAAUAAUAAUAUCAUCAGUGGAAGGUGAUUUGAGGAUGUGAUGCUGUUAUCCCUGACAUGGGCAGGAGGGAACUUGGACAAAGACCAAGGAAGAAAAUAUCUCUUCUCUGAAUGUCUUGUCUGCAUUUGAGUGCAAUGUCCUUUAUUCCGUGUCUUCCACCCAAUCAGGGCCCUACUGCCACUUAAGGGGUAAUUUCUCUUUCAAUCAUUAGUUGUUCCAGCACCAAGAAGCUUAGCCUCAGUUGAGGCACCUGAGUCAGGAGGCCAGGAUCCUUGGGAGAUUGACAACAGGAGGA
RNAcentral lists this long non-coding RNA (2118 nucleotides) under Homo sapiens (human). RNAcentral describes it as "non-protein coding lnc-LRRC71-4:4". The record is from RNAcentral. Lineage: Eukaryota; Metazoa; Chordata; Mammalia; Primates; Hominidae.